GCUGGGCGCAGUGAGGCGCGCCUGUAAUCCCAGCUACUUGGGAGGCUGAGGCAGGAGACUCACUUGAACCCGGGAGGCACAGGUUGCAGUGAGCCAAGAUCGUGCCACUGCACCCCAACCUGGGUGACAGAGCGAGACUCUGUCUCAG
RNAcentral lists this non-coding RNA (148 nucleotides) under Nomascus leucogenys (northern white-cheeked gibbon). Lineage: Eukaryota; Metazoa; Chordata; Mammalia; Primates; Hylobatidae. The record is from Rfam by way of RNAcentral.